This 325-nucleotide ribosomal RNA is filed under the name Mesofila sp. Its description in RNAcentral is "SSU rRNA". The stretch from base 107 to 325 matches the Rfam family "Eukaryotic small subunit ribosomal RNA", at positions 736 to 955 of the family's 1831-position model. The record is from RNAcentral. Lineage: Eukaryota; Cercozoa; Mesofilidae.
GAUUUCUGGCGUGGUGCCUUCCGUCCGCCGCUGUCAAGCGUGUGAGUAUGGGGGUUCGUGCCUGCCAUCCUUCUAGGGAGUGAGUCUGCCCUUUACUGGGUCGGGCUCGCGACCUGGAUCGUUUACUUUGAAAAAAUUAGAGUGUUUAAAGCAGGCGAUUGCCUCUGAAUACAUUAGCAUGGAAUAAUAAAAUAGGACUUUGGUUCUAUUUUGUUGGUUUCUAGGACUGAAGUAAUGAUUGAUAGGGACAGUUGGGGGUGCUAGUAUUCGACGGCCAGAGGUGGAAUUCUUGGAUUCGUUGAAGACUAACUAAUGCGAAAGCAUU